This is a long non-coding RNA of Neltuma alba, 565 nucleotides long. RefSeq lists it as uncharacterized. Lineage: Eukaryota; Viridiplantae; Streptophyta; Magnoliopsida; Fabales; Fabaceae. The transcript is spliced from 3 exons. The record is from RefSeq and is a predicted model, not a curated record.
AGCGCAAGGAGAGUUAAGAGACACAGAGACGGCGAUGGAGGAGGACGAAGGCAAAGGUCGUGAUCGGAGGUGCUUGGGUCACAUGCAAACCGAUUAACUUUGCAAGGUUUAUAUAUCUGCUCAAGCCCACCAAGAAGCAAAAAGAAAGGAGAACGGUAAGGUUUGAUUUGGAGGGAAGCGGACCAGUGAAGGCUAGUAGCUCGAAGGAUAAGGAGGUUGUUUGAGAAGAAGGUGAGCUGGUUGAAGAACAGAGAUAGCUGUUAUAUUUUGUAAAUAUGUAGCAAAAUAUCUUAAUAAGUUUAUACUUAUUUUAUUAUAUAUGUUAUAUGGGCAAGUAACUUUACUUGCUCUAUGGAAAUAUUAUUUUGUAUUCUCUAUAAGAAGGUGAGCACUGCCGGGUGCACGUAUAUACUGUCAACCAAGAGCGUUGCUCUAUUUUUAAUGUAAUAUUAUAAGAUUGUAUAGUAUGAAAUUAUUUUUAGGUGAUAAUAGAUUAAAUUGAAAGCAGGGUUGAUUGUAGAUCACUCUUUAAUUAUUCUAAAGGUUUGAAAUUUUUGAUUGAUGA